UUUUUUUUUUUUUUGCCUCCCCACAGCACGUGGAAGUUCCAGGAACAGGGAUCAAACCCAAGCCACAGUAGUAACAACACUCGAUCCCUAGCCUGCUGAGCCACCAGGGAACUGCAUUUGUUGGUCAAUUGUUGCCUAGAAGUAAACUACCUUUCCAGUUUCAUGCCUCAUCCUUCCUGACACUCUACCUCCCAGCCAACUAAACUCAUCUUUCUUCUGGGAAUACUGAACUUCCUGUUAUGACUUGACUUCUAUUAUUGAACUCUGCUUACAAUGCUCUUUUAGUGCUUCUACUUCAUUUAUUCAGCUCUUCCCUGAUUCUAAAUGCCUGAUUCAUAACAAAGUAUCUUUUUCCAAUAAGUUUUCUCUGUCUCACAUGGUUUGAACUGAGUGGUCCCUUAUGUGAGAUGCUGUGUCAUGCAUUAACCUUAACCAUUAUUAAUUACUGAUAAUAAUAAAUGUUGAAUAUAUGCUGCAUGUUUUAAUUGUUGUGAAUUAUAUUUUUGUAUAUCUCAUAUCUUUGUUUCCAUAUUACAUCAUGAUCUCUGAGAUUAGAGUCUAUGUUUCCAGGUUACAAAAAUUUAUCUCUUAUCUGUAAAUAUAGUUAAAAGUUUUACUGAAUCUACUUGUAAGCACAACUAUUAGGUGUUGACAGGCCCUGAAAUUGUGUCAUACAAACUGGUCAUGUCAUAGAUUUGUGUUAAUGAGAUACACAUAUUUAUCAGAAAUUUGAAGUGGAAUAUUCUAUUAAAUUUGUUUAACGUAUAUUUAUAGAUCAAAAAGUUCUACUUUUGAAUAAAUACAUGUAAAAUAUAUAGUCAAUCAAUUUUUAUUAUAAUAAAUGAACCUAUUAUUUUGGAUGAUGAAAAUUUAGUAAAAAUUCACAUUAAACAUAUGUUUCUUAUGGUAUCUAAAAUAUACUUCUAUAAAGCUAUUACAAUUAUACUAUCAUGUGUAAAUAUGAUAGUUCUUAAAUUUUUGUAUUUAAAUUAUAAAAAAAAUCCACUAGCCAACACUGACCAAUCAUUCACCCAACAUUCAGCCUAUCACACUCUUAAAAUGUUUGUCUGAUUUACAGAGUGAAUAUUAUAUGCAUUGGCAUUAUUUUUCUUCCUUCACACCUUAUCAGGCUUUUAAAAAUAUGCAUAAAAUUUAUGUAGACUCCUCAAAUAUCUGCAUAUCAUAUUUUCUGCCAUGGCCCUACUGAAAGUAACCGUGAGGAAAAUGAGACCAAACUCAUUUGUACGUUCAUACACACAUACACACAUGAAUAUAGUUUAACAUUAAAAUUCGAUUUGCUUUACUAGGUUUUAAUUUAAGUCUGCUGUGAAGAGAUCAUGGCAAUUUCAGACAGAGUCAAGACAAAUCUAAGCUGAAGUCCUCAUUUGACAAACAGCUGUAUUGCAGAGCCAGCUCAUUCACAACGCCACCCAAUUAAUGCUAAAUAUUUCCCUCAGUCAAUACAUCAUUAACUUAAUUCCUUUUUAAUUGAACUUCCUCUGUUCCAAUAUCGGCACAUUAAGAGUUAUUAUCACUCUGCCUCUGGUACAAGGCUGUUCAGAAACCUCCCAUCCUUCCUACUCCCAAAGUGUAGCAUCACUAAUAGUGUCUCUGGCAGCUCAGACCCCAUCAGUGUAUUCUAAAAUAACACAUCACAUCUCUUUAUGGUCAAUGUGGUAAUUUACUGAAAGUAAACCUUUUCAUUAACUAAAUAAAACAAAUACACCAGCACACACAAAGUCAGUUUUUAGUAAUGCAAGACCAGAACCCACCUCUUCUAGUCCAGUAUUUUCCCUGGUCUCAACUACUUUUUACCCUUUGGUACUUACAACUUUCAGUUUUUUUAUGUAUCUCUUCCUUAAUUUAACUCCUGCCUCCCCAUAACAUUUUAAGUUUCAGUGCUUGAAUGAUGGUGCAAUGAAAAAUGCUAGCAAGGAUUUCAAAUGUUGGGUUUUCUUCUCUAAUCACUCAGACUUGAAACCUCACACUCCAGAUUUUUGACUUUGUUCUUUUUGCUUAUGUAAUCUGGCCAGCAACCCUUACCUGUAUGUCUUCCUCCACAGUCAAUUUGGCAGUGGUGUGAAAGUGGGGUUGGGUGGGGAGAGUGGUGAAAGGAAUAAGCAAAGGAGAAAGAAGUUCUAAAAGAAAUGAGGACCUUCUAUUCCACUUCCCUUUCACUUGAUGAAAGGUUUUCCUGGCAUUUGCCUUCACAUCUGGAAGUGGCAAGAAAAUAAUUAUUCUAGUUGAACGGUUGUGUGAAGAUCUAACCAAAGGUGGAUCUGUUGUGGCUUACAGUUAGUGCUCCGAAAAUUACAGCAGCAGACCAGGGACUGACUUUGUGCCUCAAGAACUUGAUUACAGGUGUCUAAUCAUAUUUCAGAUAGCAGAAUGUAUUAAAGUUUUAAAUUCACAAGCUCUGCUGAAGAAGGAUUGAAAACAUUCCUAUAGAAGAAAGUAUGCUUAUAGAAAAAUGAACAGUAUAUGCAACUUUAUAAUAACAUCUCUAAGCUAAGAAGAGCAUCAUGUUUUAUAUAUGUGUGUACUUAUAUAUAUCCAUAAAACUUUGGAGAGAUAUAUAUAGCAUUUUCCAAGUCAGAAGAUGUACUGAUAAAGCACAGCCAAUGGCCUUCUAAAAUGAUUAGUAUAUACUGAAUAUAAUCAACAAGAACAUACUGUACAGCUUAGAGAAAUCUACUCAAAAUUGUGUGAUAACCAAAAUGGGAAAUGAAUCUGAAAAAAAUGGGUAUAUGUAUCAUUGAAUCACUUUGCUGUACAUCUGAAACCAAACAACCUUGUAAAUCUAUACUUCAAUAAAAAAAUUAAAAACAACAAAAAGAUACAUUAGAGAUUUUCUAUCAAGUAAUAAAAUACAUAAUGAAAAAUAGAUGGUUCCAUUCCUAUGAUAAGGAACAAAUAUUUUACACUGAUGUAUUAUUUAAAUGGGUGACAUUGUUUUAAAAGAAAAAAACAUUCCACAAAUUGCAAUGGCAUUCACAUCUAAAAUCACUGGAAAUUGCAGAGUUUGAUUAUCUAAAGAAAUCAAGUACAAAUGAUAAAAUGAAUAUACUUGUAUUUAAUUGGGAUAUUGUGAAGGUUAAUGAAAUCAAACAACCUUGAAGGGAUGUAGGUGAUGGUUAAUACACCACAUUGAAUUUUUGGAUUAAUAUUAAAAGAAAGCAACCUGAUUCAUUUCUGUUUAUUCCAAUAUUCAAACCAAGUGGAACUCCUGGGAAUUAUUAGAGAGACAAAUUAAAACAACAGAUGGACUUGCAGUUGCCUGCAUAAGAAUGUCUUUUCACAAAACCCCCUGACAAUUUCAGAGAUUCUAAGGUGUUCUAUUUAAUUUCAAAUAAAGAAUACUACAUUUUUUCCUCUUACCAGGCUGUCAAUCUCUGAGGACCCCAAAGAAAAUAAUUUGAAAACAUCAUGAAAGUAUUUUCUCGGGCCUUUUAUAAGACACAUCUUGUAAGAUAGUUAUAAGACUCACACUUUUUUAGUGAUAGAAAGGAGAAAAAAAGUGUAAGCAAUUUCUAUCUCCUAAAGUAUGAAUCUCCAUUUUGAGUAUUAAAUGGAACAGUUACUUUUAUGACAUAGAUUUUAAAGAGAAAACACCCAAUUUCCUACCAUAUCUUUAUUUUAUGUAAUUAAAAGAUUUGUUCUUAUUUUAUGGAUCACUGAGUUAAAUUAGCCAAACAGUGGCUGUGGUAGCACUUGACUCUGUAAAGCUCCUGCUGUUAGAGACUUAGUUCUAUAGACAGGUUAAUUUUAUUCUGCAUUGUUAUCAAAGAUGUUUUGGAGAAAUAAAUAUUUAGGUCAUUCACUAACCUAACUUGUAUAAAAUUUUUUUUUUACUUUUUGAAAGGAGAUUCAUGUAGACAUCUAAAAUAUAUAAUGGGGGCUUUUAGUGGGGGGAAGAUAUCUAAUUUCACAGGAUUUAAUUGUGCAAAUUGUGCUAAAAGUUCAUCUGAAGAAGACUAGGGGCUUAUAAAAUAAAUUCUCAAAAUGGGUCCUUGGGAUUUCUGCUUCUUGUAAUUGCAGAGUGGCUUUUUGCCGACUGACUCUUCUUCUGAGAACUAGAAAGGCUGGAUUUUAUUUUUUUUAAAUCUGUGUGAAAGGAUCAGCAAGGUAAAAAAGGGACUUAAAGGAUCACAAUCCCAGAAGGAAUGAAAUUAUCCAAAGAAAUGCGCCCAACAUUCAUCACCACUUCUCUCUUUGAGGAAUUUGUUGUUUCUCAAGAGGUGACGGAAGUUGAGAAGUUGAGCAGAGCUCCAGGCAAUGUUACAUGACUGGGACAUACAAAAUUUUGAGUAUAUGGCCCACAAAGAAGAAGGGAUUCUGGUAAACAUGCUAGACUCUCAGCUGGAACUAGUGGAAGACUACAUCCUAAGAGUGUGUAUACACAAAUGAAUCAGCUCUCAGAUAAUUCUUGAUUGGAUUAAGGAAAAGCUGUCCCUAGCUUAAAUGCUUACUAAAAGCAAAACUAAAUGCCCUUUAGACAAAUACAACAUUACCACCAAAUGUUUUCAUAAGUAAUAUGGGGUACUCAGUUAAAAUUUACAUUUGAU
This 4565-nucleotide long non-coding RNA is filed under the name Sus scrofa (pig). Its description in RNAcentral is "lncRNA (ENSSSCG00000063269.1)". The record is from RNAcentral. Lineage: Eukaryota; Metazoa; Chordata; Mammalia; Artiodactyla; Suidae.